GAGAAAUGGUUGGGGCACUACAAGUCCCAUCAGCCCUAGUGCUAUAUAAGGAAGCAGCGAGGUUCGUUCGCUCUCUCGCUUCCUGUCUUUGACUGACUGGUGGAUGAAUGGAUGUCACGGCACAUCUAAAACUUCAAUUGAUGAUUGAUCACCUCAGAAGAAGAGUAGCAGGCGAGCAGUUAUGUUAAAUGCUGGUGCAGCGUUAUUACGAGCUGAAUAUAUGAUACACACCGUUAAGGAGUGUUUUGGCCGGAUUAUUGCCUGACUGAUUGUUGCCUGAGUGUCCAUCAAAAUAACGGAUGUUAGAGGGAUGCACGGUUACCGUUUACUUUAGAUUUAAUUUUCUUUGGUUUAUUUAUUGUUUUUUUUGUUGGAUGUUGGAUCAUAAUUGUAUAAGGAAAACCUAGGCCAUAAAAGGAUGGUUCUAUGGUGCUGACUGGUUAGUUCUACUUGCAUUACCCACUGUUAAUUAAUUUGUUUUUCUUUCUUUUUGUAGAUUUCUUUUCAAACCAACCAUGGCUUCUGGGUUAUCCUCACUGUGUGGAUGGCGGUGGUGAGGUGGCUGGGACCGUGUGGUGGUUUGGUCACUUUAUUUGUGUUUCUUUCUUUUUUGUAGGUUUGCAGUGUUAUUGCUGUGAGCGUUGUUGUGGUGAGAGCAUUUUGAAUGCCACUCUGUCUUCACGAUAUAGGUAACCCGUGGCUAUCUGUUGGUUGAUUUCGUUUUUUGUUUCUUUAUUUAUUAUUAUUUCCUUUGUGGGUAUUUGCAUUGACGAUCUGUUACACCUUUUUUUAAUAUGUUGAAUUAUUUGAAUAAAAAUGUGCCUGUUG
Molecule: long non-coding RNA, 828 nt
Organism: Carassius carassius (crucian carp)
Lineage: Eukaryota; Metazoa; Chordata; Actinopteri; Cypriniformes; Cyprinidae
Exons: 3
Source: RefSeq, a predicted model, not a curated record